Molecule: long non-coding RNA, 456 nt
Filed under: Olea europaea (common olive)
Lineage: Eukaryota; Viridiplantae; Streptophyta; Magnoliopsida; Lamiales; Oleaceae
Description: long non-coding RNA (OEUR_LNC009028)
Source: RNAcentral
AUCUGCACAUGGCCAAGUUUUUAGCUAUCUAUAAUGUGUUUUAUUUUCGUUGUUUUUGUCAAAAUCGAAACUUGAUUGGUUCAUACAAGGGAUUGCAGAAUGUAUCUGUGAUAUAGAAGCAGGAGAUUAUGUCAAGAUUUCUAACCUUAAAAGUUCACCAGUAUCACUGGUGUUUUUUUUUUUCUUGCAAUUUCCAUACGAAUUAUUGUGUGCGCUUUUAUAGAAAUGAUGAUAUAUGCAUUUGAAGAAAUUACUUUAUACAAGGGAUUGCAGAAUGUAUCUGUGAUAUAGAAGCAGGAGAUUAUGUCAAGAUUUCUAACCUUAAAUGUUCACCAGUAUCACUGGUGUUUUUUUUUUUUUCUUGCAAUUUCCAUACGAAUUAUUGUGUGCGCUUUUAUAGAAAUGAUGAUAUAUGCAUUUGAAGAAAUUACUUGGUGGGAUGCAUUAAAAAAUAAG